CUUUGUGACUCUGCACUCUUGGACAGUAGCAUCCAGCAACAUAGGAUACUUUGGGGAGGGAAAGGAAAAGAGGCAAUCUCCCAGAAAAGCCCGAGAGCCCAGAAAAAUAAAGCAUAAAGCUGCGCCGUCUGGAAGAAGCAAGACCGUCUUUCCUCACAGCUACGAUGCUGCACCACUUUCGACAGAACCUGCUUUUCCCUCCAUUUACCUGGGCAGCUGCUGCUCUUUCUGCUGCUGCUGGGGCUGCUGCAGUCUUGCUGCCUGCGCUUCACCCUGGCUUGGCUGACUCGAAACUCUCUCGUCUGCACAUUGCAAAGGGAGAAGAGCUAUGGAGCCGCGGAUUUUUUUUUUAUUGGUUCUGGAAGCCAAGGGUUGCAAUAUGUGAUGAUUUUGGGGUUUUCUGUGGCGGGAGGGAGGGAGGAGAAAGGCAGGGUGUUAAUCUAGGAUAGGGUGGGUGGAAGCUUAAAGAAAUAUUAUGUCAAGUAAUCCAGUGCUCGACAAGGGCAUCAGCAACAAGAAUCCAGCCUCUGCUGCUCCAGAGGAUUAACAUGGGGAAGUCACAGCGCUGCAGUCGUGUUUCACCUCAGUGUUGUACUGGAGAUGGAUAAAUAAGGUAUCGGUUGCAUCUGCCUGUUAAGGCAAAGCCAAGGGAGAAGGAGAGAGUGAGCGAAUGCAAAUGCAAAGGAAGAAGAAACGCUACGUGCCGUUUGUCCGAUUCUGUGGAUUCUCACUGCAGAGAGGAUGGCUUGAUUAACAAAGCAAUGUAUGAACGGAGGGACUGUAAAUUGUAGCUUGAGCACUCCUGGUGUUGUCAAGGAGUGAACUGAUGAGUUAGGUGGCUGCAGGAAUAUCCCCAGGGAAAACAGCAGCCUUGCACUCUGUGUGUAUAUCUGUGUACGUACGUGCUUUUGUGUGUGUGUGAACAUGUAUAGAAAUGAAAGAAAGACAUUUCUGACCAAUUUACAGAGGAUGUUUGUCAAUUUGCUGGGUCAGACUUGAUUGCAGCUUGUAUUUUCAGCUCUAGCUCUACACCCAUUUCCUGACUGAGGUGGCACUUUGUGAAAACAGAUGGUAGGCAGUAUUCUUUUAAGAAAUGUGAAAACAGAUCCUUUCUGCUUAACACCUUGAAGCACUGAGUCUUCUGCACAGUGCUGAGAGAAACCAUGGGGUUUCGUUUUCUCCAUCUUAAAAUCUCUAUAAACACAGCUGUAUUCAGUAUGGUGAAAAAUUCUAUACUGUAAAUAGAAAUGUGAUCAAUCUAAUCAAAAUAAAUGCAUCCCAGAUGACUUCUAGACCAGCUGGCUACCACAGUCAUCAGAUGACUAAAUCCUCAACUGAGCAUUUGUAUUCAGUGUUAUAUUUGCAUCUUUUUAGUUUUCCUUUUUUUUUCUUAGAUUUUCAAAAUCAGCCUCUAAUUGAAAAGGAUUCUUCAUGUAUUGAGAAAGCGUAAUGCUUGCGUUUGGCAAUUGACUUCUGUGAAAUGCAACUGGGUGUAUUUUUUAUUUCAGAAUCUGCUUGGGGAGGUUUUAGAGCAGGUAGGCUUGUCACAGGACAGGCACAUUUCAUUUAGUAGGUAUCCUAGCUUGGUCAUAUCUGAACAAUGCAGAAACAGGGAAAACAAGCCCUGCACUCAGCUAGCAGGGCUUGGCAUGGAUUCUGGCAGCUGCCUAUUGAGAAAAAUGGAGUGUUUUCCUUUCCUUUUUUUCCCUUUUAUACAAAGCCAUAGACCAUAAUGUCAUACUAAAAUGUGUGUGAGGGGAUUUCCCAAUAGUCAUGGUGAGCUACCCUGCAAGACAUCCGUCUGGUCCUUCCACUAUUUGUUCCCCAGCCUACAAAGGCAGCCCUGUGUGUGGAAUUGUAUUUAACCAGCUGUUGGAUAGCAUUCUCGUACUGGGGGCUAAGGAGUCUUAUUACUCCCAAACUGUAGUUUUCUGUUUGCGUAAAGAAAAAUUACUUUGGCAAUAGAGCAAGCUCUGCAAAGGAGUUUAUGCCACUCCUAUACCUUUCUGAAUCUGUUGUGUGCCUCUAACUCGGGCAGUCUAAAGCAAGCAAGGAGGGAGGAGGAGAGACUCUGAAAUCGCAGCUUCAAAGCUGCAGAGACGAGCAAAAUGUCAGCAGCUUGUAAUUAGGAGCCCAUGGUUACGUCAGUGACUGUAUCUCUCCAAGAAUUGCUAUGUGAUGUGUGCCACAAAGCAAAGGAAGACUCUCAUAACCUGGUUAACAAGCCUGGCUCAAACAAGAAAGAGCAAAAUGGAUUAAUGAAUCUACUGCGUUCCUAAGUCAGAUGUGGAUGGAUUACAUGCACAAGGUUUGCUGAAUUCUGCAGCAGUGAAGACUGAGUUAUGGGAUACAUUCACCAAAAGUGCAAAUCCUUCAGGAAAGAAUGCAGAUGAACAGUCUAUCUUUGAAAAUUUUUCUCCUAGCUCUGUCCUGUAUGGGCAGCUGCACGACAUGGAGGCAUGCUCUGAAGGAAGAGACUGGCGAGCUGCACAAAGGUGUUUAAAAGGAAGGGUGCAAUAUAACACAAAGCAAGCCUGCUGAAAUUCUGCUCUGGCAUUACAGAUUUGAUACUGAAAUACCACCCCAGAGGAGACCGGCUGGGCUCUGGUGUGGUUUAUAUUAAGGCUUCUCCGGUAAAGAGCGAGGGGGGAGGGCCAGGGCUUCCUGCAGCAUCUUGCAGCCAUGCAGAAGUCCCCAGGGCUGUGGGAAGCAGGAGGGAUGGACAUGCUCUUAAAGACACAUGCCCAGAUCCUGCCAAGGGGCUUUCUGACCUCUGCAAUUUUUUUUAGGUCUGGGAAGGCAACUCGGCAGUGCUUAAGCAGUGAGAUUGCAGGGGGUGUUUAAUCUGCUGCGACUGGCCUUUCUCUGUGUCAUGGCUGGGAGAGGUUUAUAGGGCUUUUGCCAAUACCCCUCCACCAGAUACAGCCUGCACGUCUGUCACUGUUCCCAAAGACCUGGAGGUCUGGUGUAGCUCCCUGCUCAGAAGUCACUUGCAGUUCAACUCUGCUGUAGUUGCUUUUAAUUUACCAGGAUAGGUAGAUUGUACUAUACAAACAGUGGGAGUGGGUGGUUUUUGGUUUGGUUUUGGUUUGUUGGUUUUUUUUUUUUUUUUUUUUUUUGGACUGUGAACACAAAUUUGUAGGAGGAGGUGACUCUGUAUAUUAAACCAAUAGCUCUUUGAAUUGUGUGUAGUAUAAUUUAAAUAUACUUACUUUAAUUAAUAGAAGGUUACAAAAGCUGGCAUUGUCUGGGGCUGUUUAAUUUACAUCUUAGGUUUAGUCAAUGAGCAUAACCUGCCUGAUUAGAAUAGUGUAUUCUGCACAGCCAACAGGGUGGAAGGCAUUAUUUUGUUUGUGUUAGUUCAAACAGCUGGUCAUUAAUGCAGGCCCCAUCUCCAGAGUGAAGUGCUAGUGGACAUGAAUGGCUGCCUGAUUAAUGCUGCCCCUCGACGGGUCCUUCAUCCAGCAGCGAUGCUCGCAGCAGAAUAAUGCAGCAGGAUUUGAUUGCGCUCUAACAGGGUAGUAUGUCAUUGUGUCACCAAGCGAUCGAGGUUAUUAUGGGGUAGGGCAGACAGACGGGACAGUGGGGUUACUAGACCGUGGCAUUUUUAGAAAUGCAGGGCUGACCUACUUAGAGUUAUUCUUGCUGGCUGGCAGCUGCCUGGUGCGGGGCUCCCCCGGAUAGGCUGCGGCUGUUGCUAGGGGGAAUUAGCAUGAAUUUUUCCACAUACAGACUCAGUGAUUGAAUGAUAAAAGCUGACUGGAAUUAAAGAGAUUCGGUUCAGUAUUAUGCAGAUUUAUCUCCCUCAUUUUUUUUCUCUCUGUCAAAUGCAUAAAAAGGAGCAGAAAAUAGUUUGUUUCCAUUUAUUUUUGACCUAUUUUUUUUUCCAGGGGAGGGCAGAAGUGUUGUGAAUUUUUGGUCAUAAUUUAAUAUUUAGGCUGUUGAAAUUAUAUGAUAGUGGGCAUGCAUCUUUAAUGCAUGGAAGAUUAAAAUGCUGCCACUCUGGAAGGGAAUGAAAUGAAUAUAUUUUGUGUUCUGGUCAGGCUGCCACCUCUUUUUAUAUGAAGCCAUGUCUGAUUCUUUCAUCUGGAAAGGGAAAACAAGGUUUUAUUGCAUAACAUUACUCUUAGCUAUUUUUAGUUAUCUGUACUUCAAAAAAUUAGUCAUGAUUAUGCUAGUGGAUGAAAUUAAUCCCCAGGCUAUGCCUUAUGUAUGUGGAGGCAGAUGCCCAGGGUAGCUGCAGUGUUGUGUGUCAUGUUCAUCUGAAAAGGUGUUUAUAUACUGCAGGCUUAUCAGCACUGCAUACCUAGCAGAGUGCUGAUGCCUGACAUGAAAUCAGAUCAAUUAGAGAACUCUUCUGGAUUUCGGCAUAUUUUUCAGGCCCUGGUUUGAAGUUGGAUUCUCUAGAUGGCCUUCUUUUAUUUAUCUACAUCUGCCUAAAACAGUGUUAUCUUUUCAGAGAACUCUGUGCUCCCUUAGGAAGCAAAUAAAAACAAUACUCAGUGAAGAAUCCUUUGAUGUAAUCAUGAAUAUUUCCUUUGUUAUUAUCACUAAUUAUAGACGAUCUUUGUUUAAACCGCUAUUUCCCUCUGUGUGAUCUUUUACCAUGCAAAGAAGUUCCAAUUUAGUUCUUGUAAUUUUAAGUUAAAUAUUCAUGACAAUGCAUCAUGACAUCACACUCAAAGAAGUGGGAAUUUUCAAAAUAUAAGGCAGUGGGGGAUGGGAGAGAAGGACCCACACAUCUUUGGAACUGCAAAAUAAAAAAUGUGACUCGGUGCUGAAAAGAAGUGAACUCAUUUUUGUCUGAAACAGUUUAAUUUCAGAUAUUUGGAUGAAUGACAUACCUUCUAGAAGGGUGUGAACAGCUCAGUUGCAAAUCUGAGUUACCUUUUAGAGGAGUGUGAGUUGCCUGUGCAUCUCUCUGGACAGCUAGCUGCUUUCCUGGAACCAGAACUGUCCUGCCUUAGCUCCUGGAAUUUACUGGGAAGGUAUUAAAAAAAAUGAAACCAGAAAUGCAGACAUGAAUUUGAAUGUAUUUUGUGGUUGAGGCCAAGUAUUCAGUUCCUAUAGAGUUGAAUUUCCUAUGUCUUUUUCCUGGCAUUGAUUCAUUGCUGAAACUUGCACCACUUCCUUCUCUGCUCCUUCCUGACAGUCUCAUGGAGUGACAGAUUUUUAGAGAAGUGAGGAGGGGCACUAUUUGAUGCCCAGUAAUUGUGUUUGCCUUGUCUGUCCUUGGAGGUUACUCCAGAAAGUUGUGGUCCCACUUCCCUCAGCAAUAUUCUCUUGAUCCAAAUCUGAAGUCCUGCUUCACUUUCCUUCAGGAUGCUGAUGGAUGUUAAGCAACAGACAGCCUUUGUCUACAAUUGUCUCUUGAGGUUCUUGCCCUUGUUGGUUGCAGCCAGUUGUAGUUAAAUUCAGUUCACCCGGGAUAUUAUCUGACUUGGGCUUCAGCAAAUCAAAAUAAGCAUGCAAUAUUAUAUUAAUGCAAUACCCUAUUUUCUUGAAAAAAAAAAUUGGAGUGUUUGGUAUAUUUGUACUAAAAAAGAGGGAGUUCAAAGAAAAGCAACAAACAAGAUAAAGCAUUUAUUCUUGGAAAAGAGAUGUGUCCUUGUUGUUUAUCUGGAUUUCAACACAGUGAUUGUUUAUAACAAACAUCAAAUCAGACAGUUUAACAAACCAUCAAGUAAUGUAUUAAAUACAAAAAAUGUAGUGCACCAGAAAUUGUAUUCCAUGUAAAGUUAUCCUGCUGAAAGUCUCUUCAAUGAAAAAUUUUCCAAACAA
This is a long non-coding RNA of Catharus ustulatus (Swainson's thrush), 5781 nucleotides long. RefSeq lists it as uncharacterized. The record is from RefSeq and is a predicted model, not a curated record. The transcript is spliced from 2 exons. Lineage: Eukaryota; Metazoa; Chordata; Aves; Passeriformes; Turdidae.